This 253-nucleotide ribosomal RNA is filed under the name uncultured bacterium. RNAcentral's name for it is "partial 16S ribosomal RNA". It matches the Rfam family "Bacterial small subunit ribosomal RNA", at positions 524 to 776 of the family's 1533-position model. The record is from RNAcentral.
UACAUGGGGUGCAAACGUUGCUCGGAAUCAUUGGGCGUAAAGCGCGCGUAGGCGGUUACUUAAGUCGGAUGUGAAAGCCCUCGGCUUAACCGAGGAAGUGCAUCCGAAACUGAGUAGCUAGAGUACUAAAGAGGGUCGCGGAAUUCCCGGUGUAGAGGUGAAAUUCGUAGAUAUCGGGAGGAACACCUGUGGCGAAAGCGGCGCACUGGACCAUAACUGACGCUGAGGCGCGAAAGCUAGGGGAGCAAACAGG